Molecule: ribosomal RNA, 254 nt
Filed under: uncultured bacterium
Lineage: Bacteria
Description: partial 16S ribosomal RNA
Rfam family: Bacterial small subunit ribosomal RNA
Source: RNAcentral
UACGUAGGGUGCAAGCGUUGUCCGGAAUUAUUGGGCGUAAAGAGCUCGUAGGCGGCUCAGUAAGUCAGGUGUGAAAACUCCAGGCUCAACCUGGAGACGCCAUCUGAUACUGCUGUGGCUAGAGUCCGGUAGGGGAGCAUGGAAUUCCUGGUGUAGCGGUGAAAUGCGCAGAUAUCAGGAGGAACACCAGUGGCGAAGGCGGUGCUCUGGGCCGGAACUGACGCUGAGGAGCGAAAGCGUGGGGAGCAAACAGG